AACGAACGCUGGCGGCAUGCCUAACACAUGCAAGUCGAACGAGACCUUCGGGUCUAGUGGCGCACGGGUGCGUAACGCGUGGGAACCUGCCCUUAGGUUCGGAAUAACUCCCCGAAAGGGGUGCUAAUACCGGAUAAUGUCUUCGGACCAAAGAUUUAUCGCCUUUGGAUGGGCCCGCGUUGGAUUAGCUAGUUGGUAGGGUACAAGCCUACCAAGGCGACGAUCCAUAGCUGGUCUGAGAGGAUGAUCAGCCACACUGGGACUGAGGCACGGCCCAGACUCCGACGGGAGGCAGCAGUGUGGAAUAUUGGACAAUGGGCGAAAGCCUGAUCCAGCAAUGCCGCGUGAGUGAUGAAGGCCUUAGGGUUGUAAAGCUCUUUUACCCGGGAUGAUAAUGACAGUACCGGGAGAAUAAGCUCCGGCUAACUCCGUG
Molecule: ribosomal RNA, 433 nt
Filed under: uncultured bacterium
Lineage: Bacteria
Description: partial 16S ribosomal RNA
Rfam family: Bacterial small subunit ribosomal RNA
Source: RNAcentral